GUCCUAGCCCUAAACGAUGAAUACUUGGUGUCUGGAGUUCUUUUCUCCGGGUGCCGUCGCUAACGUUUUAAGUAUUCCGCCUGGGGAGUACGCACGCAAGUGUGAAACUCAAAGGAAUUGACGGGGACCCGCACAAGCGGUGGAGCAUGUGGUUUAAUUCGACGCAACGCGAAGAACCUUACCUGGACUAGAAUGCCUCUGACCGUCCCUUAACAGGGACUUUCCGGGCAACCGGACGGAGUGCAAGGUGCUGCAUGGCUGUCGU
This 265-nucleotide ribosomal RNA is filed under the name uncultured bacterium. RNAcentral describes it as "partial 16S ribosomal RNA". It matches the Rfam family "Bacterial small subunit ribosomal RNA", at positions 793 to 1055 of the family's 1533-position model. The record is from RNAcentral.